Long non-coding RNA from Hibiscus syriacus, 657 nucleotides. RefSeq lists it as uncharacterized. The record is from RefSeq and is a predicted model, not a curated record. The transcript has 2 exons. NCBI's taxonomy places the organism in Eukaryota, Viridiplantae, Streptophyta, Magnoliopsida, Malvales, Malvaceae.
GAAGUAUUGACAUGGCUUAAGUAACUAAAAAUCGAAAGUUGCAUGAUCAUUGUAGCCGUUAACCUAUGUUUCCUAGAUGUCCUUAUUUUUGCUAACUUGGAAAACUUGAUUGUUUUGUUUUGCUCAUUGGCUCAUGAGGAUUGAUAGAGUUCAGGGGUAACUGAGAAAUAUAAGUUCCUUUAGAUAAUGUAUUGAGGUGCAUAUCUCCAACGGUAUAGAGUUCUUAUGAUCUCUGAGUUUCAUUGUAGACUUUUCUAACAGUUUUAAUGUGUUUAUUUUUGUCUUCAAAUAUUCUUACACCUGCCAUUUACAUGCUAAAGCGGGCUUCAAGAACCUCCAAUCCCUCGAAAUAUGAUGCGGGGGUUUAACUGAUGCUGGUGUGAAAAAUAUCAAAGAUCUCCGCUCGUUAAUACUACUGAACCUUUCACAAAACUGCAACCUGACAAACAAAUCCUUGGAGUUUAUUUCAGGAUUGACCGCAUUGGUGUCGUUAAAUGUUUUGAACUCCAACAUAACUAAUGACGGUUUAUCAUAUUUAAAGCCUCUAAAGAAUUUACGGUCGCUAUCUUUGGACUCGAGCCAGGUAACCUCCGCCCAAAUUAAGAAGCUUCAGUCAGCGGCCCUCCCUAACCUCGUGAGCUCUCGACCGGAAUAAAA